CCGUAUCAGGAAGGACCUGGACGAGCAGUGGGAGGAGGCGUCUGAGGAUGUGAGACAAACCUACGGGAGGGACUACCUUGACGAGCAAUUCCAGGCAGCCAUUGCCUCCUCCUCAACCAGCUUCCCUACUCUUCAUCCCAUUAUGGUCGCUUUCAAGGAUGCACUGUUGAACGAGCAGCCACAAAAUAGAUAUUUAACUGAUGGUAGCAAUGGCCUGUACGACCCAUAUUGUCUGUGUGCCCGCUUAUAUAGCGUUCUUCCCGAGACGUGGAUGGACAAAGUUGUAGACUAUUAUUUUGGAGGAGGACCCAUUGCUGAUGCCCUGAAAAAGGAAGCAUGAAGAGUAUAGCGCUGGUUAUCUAUCGUACAAAACAAUACUCCUGAUUACAGAGUUGUGUUGAUUUUUAGUACGUGUUGAUUCCGAAGUAGAAACAAAUGCAAAUAGUGAACCGGAAAUCAACCCGUAAAACAAUAAGUGUGAAAGCAACAAAGCAGCUUGAUGUAAUUUACAACUGUGUACUAAAAUUAACUAAGUAAACAAAUUCAUACUAAUUACUACAAAUGCAUUACCAGACAGACAGGUUUAUUCGGUAAUUUAGGCCCAAGGCCCAUAAUACAUACAUUUGGCAAAAGUAAAUACAUACUGAGUAAGGCUGAGUAUAGUUUAGUAUUGAUU
Molecule: long non-coding RNA, 676 nt
Organism: Haliotis rubra (blacklip abalone)
Lineage: Eukaryota; Metazoa; Mollusca; Gastropoda; Lepetellida; Haliotidae
Exons: 2
Source: RefSeq, a predicted model, not a curated record